This is a small nuclear RNA of Suncus etruscus (white-toothed pygmy shrew), 108 nucleotides long. NCBI's taxonomy places the organism in Eukaryota, Metazoa, Chordata, Mammalia, Eulipotyphla, Soricidae. The record is from RefSeq and is a predicted model, not a curated record.
GUGCUUGUUUUGGCAGCACAUAUACUAAAAUUGGAAUGAUACAGAGAAGAUUAGCAUGACCCCUGUUGCAAGGAUGACACGCAAAUCUGCAAAGCGUUGCAUAUUAAA